RNAcentral lists this ribosomal RNA (254 nucleotides) under uncultured bacterium. RNAcentral describes it as "partial 16S ribosomal RNA". It matches the Rfam family "Bacterial small subunit ribosomal RNA", at positions 524 to 776 of the family's 1533-position model. The record is from RNAcentral.
UACGGGGGGAGCAAGCGUUGUUCGGAUUUACUGGGCGUAAAGGGCGCGUAGGCGGCCCCCGCAAGUCGACUGUGAAAUCUCCGGGCUUAACCCGGAAAGGUCAGCCGAUACUGCGGGGCUAGAGUGCAGAAGGGGCAACUGGAAUUCUCGGUGUAGCGGUGAAAUGCGUAGAUAUCGAGAGGAACACCUGGGGCGAAGGCGGCCGGCUGGGCCGACCCUGACGCUGAGGCGCGAAGGCGUGGGGAGCGAACGGG